Molecule: ribosomal RNA, 21 nt
Filed under: Alternaria sp. MY-2011
Lineage: Eukaryota; Fungi; Ascomycota; Dothideomycetes; Pleosporales; Pleosporaceae
Description: partial 28S large subunit ribosomal RNA
Source: RNAcentral
UUGACCUCGAUCAGUAGUCAU